UUUGUAUAUUUAAAUACGAUAAAAAUUAAUUUGUUAAGUUUUAAUAUAUUUUUUUAGUCUAGUUUGUACAUUUAAAAUAUAAUAAAAUUUGAUUGAUUAAGUAUUAAUAUUUAAUUUUACUUUAUAAUAUUAUUAUUAUAUUAUUAUAAUUUACAUAAAAAUCAUUUAGUUAUUUUUUUAUUAAAAUUUUUAAUUAUAUAAAAAUAUAAUUAUAUUGUUUUUAUUUAUUACAUUAUAAUUUAUUAUUUAUCAAGUUAUUUAUUAUUUAAUAUUUAUACAUAAAUUAUAAUUUUACAUCAUUCACUUCUUUUCAAAUAAACAGUAAAAUUAAAGAAUUUUUAUUUUCAUAAAUAUAAAAAUAAAUAGUAGGGAAGAAAUAAAUUUUACUUAAUUCCACUUCAACCGAAAAUUCAGUUUCAGCGAAACAAAAGUCUCCCUAACCA
RNAcentral lists this long non-coding RNA (443 nucleotides) under Ananas comosus (pineapple). RNAcentral's name for it is "long non-coding RNA (ACOM_LNC001760)". Lineage: Eukaryota; Viridiplantae; Streptophyta; Magnoliopsida; Poales; Bromeliaceae. The record is from RNAcentral.